GUGCACCAGUCGCGAAAACUCCACAAUGUGGGAAACCACGAUGGGGGAACUCCCAGUGCGCACACUUUGUGUGCGCUGUUCUCCUGCCUAAACAGCUUGGAGAAUAAGGGCGGGGUAAGGCCGGUGCCAGCCGCCGCGGUAAUACCGGCCGCCUGAGUAGUGACCACUAUUAUUGGGCCUAAAGCGUCCGUAGCCGGUUUUGUAAGUUUCUGGGUAAAUCCCACAGCUUAACUGCGGGAAUUCCAGAAAUACUGCAGAGCUAGGGGCCGGGAGACGCAGAAGGUACUCCUGGGGUAGGGGUGAAAUCCUAUAAUCCUAGGGGGACCACCAGUGGCGAAGGCGUUCUGCGAGAACGGGCUCGACGGUGAGGGACGAAAGCCAGGGGCGCAAACGGGAUUAGAUACCCCGGUAGUCC
Molecule: ribosomal RNA, 415 nt
Filed under: uncultured archaeon
Lineage: Archaea
Description: partial 16S ribosomal RNA
Rfam family: Archaeal small subunit ribosomal RNA
Source: RNAcentral